This 253-nucleotide ribosomal RNA is filed under the name uncultured bacterium. RNAcentral's name for it is "partial 16S ribosomal RNA". It matches the Rfam family "Bacterial small subunit ribosomal RNA", at positions 524 to 776 of the family's 1533-position model. The record is from RNAcentral.
UACAGAGGUCCCAAGCGUUGUUCGGAUUCAUUGGGCGUAAAGGGUGCGUAGGCGGCGCGGUAAGUCGGGUGUGAAAUCUCGGAGCUUAACUCCGAAACUGCAUUCGAUACUGCCGUGCUUGAGGACUGGAGAGGAGACUGGAAUUUACGGUGUAGCGGUGAAAUGCGCAGAUAUCAGGAGGAACACCGGUGGCGAAGGCGGUUCUCUGGGCAUGAUCUGACGCUGAGGAGCGAAAGUGUGGGGAGCGAACAGG